AUUAAAGUUGCCGAACCUCCGAACUGAAUAUCCCCAUUGCAGGAAGUGAUGAAUGUUACACAAAGUUGCUGCAUCAGCUAGUUUGAAUUUAGCAUACUGCAUUGGGUAUUGAAGAUCAGAGUUUUCAGCCACUUAUUGAAAAGAAAUACUGCAUAGAGAACAGACUCUUAAAGAGCAUUUGCUUCUAGAAAAAUUCAUUUUAAACAAAUCAGAGAUUUGAAGAAAAAUAAAGGAAGGGCCGUUGUACUUGAACUGGAUUCCUACAAUUAUAUUGCAAGGAAUUUGAGUCUAUUUGCUCAGAGGGAUAACAGCAGCCUGUUACCUUGAAUUUUAGACAAGGGUCUUACAGUUGCCAGAGGAGGUAGAUCGAGUGAGAGCGAACGGAGACUUUGGAGGUGUGGAUAAAUAAUAAGUAAGCUGUAUUCACGCCAGAGCACAGAAAGAUCAAGGAGGAUAACAACACCAAAUUGGAUUUAACCCU
Lingula anatina is the source of this 481-nucleotide long non-coding RNA. The record is from RefSeq and is a predicted model, not a curated record. NCBI's taxonomy places the organism in Eukaryota, Metazoa, Brachiopoda, Lingulata, Lingulida, Lingulidae.